Molecule: long non-coding RNA, 235 nt
Filed under: Vigna radiata
Lineage: Eukaryota; Viridiplantae; Streptophyta; Magnoliopsida; Fabales; Fabaceae
Description: long non-coding RNA (VRAD_LNC016460)
Source: RNAcentral
GACAACAACAAAAUAAAAGUUCUCCCUUUUUCUCAAAGUGGUGCAACUAGUGCAGUUAACAGAUUCUAAUUGCUCUCAGGUAAUUGCUUCAAUUGAUACUGCACAAAUAAAUUGCACUCCGAAAUCAGAUAUUCACACAGUGCAAGCAACUACAAACCAUAACAAUAGCAGUUGAAUCACAACAAAAACAAUUGAAGGUAGAAGAAACUCCCUUCAAUACGAAACUAUUGCUACU